Molecule: ribosomal RNA, 660 nt
Filed under: uncultured bacterium
Lineage: Bacteria
Description: bacterial SSU rRNA
Rfam family: Bacterial small subunit ribosomal RNA
Source: RNAcentral
GAUGGGCAUGCGUGACAUUAGCUAGUUGGUAAGGUAACGGCUUACCAAGGCGACGAUGUCUAGGGGAACUGAGAGGUUGAUCCCCCACACUGGUACUGAGACACGGACCAGACUCCUACGGGAGGCAGCAGUGAGGAAUAUUGGUCAAUGGGCGGAAGCCUGAACCAGCCAUGCCGCGUGAAGGAAGAAGGUCCUAUGGAUUGUAAACUUCUUUUAUACGGGAGCAAUAAGAACUACGUGUAGUUCGAUGAGAGUACCGUAAGAAUAAGCACCGGCUAACUCCGUGCCAGCAGCCGCGGUAAUACGGAGGGUGCAAGCGUUAUCCGGAUUCAUUGGGUUUAAAGGGUGCGUAGGCGGACUGGAAAGUCAGUGGUGAAAUGCUUGGGCUUAACCGAGGCACUGCCAUUGAUACUAUCAGACUAGAGUACAAACGGAGUGGGCGGAAUAUGUCAUGUAGCGGUGAAAUGCAUAGAUAUGACAUAGAACACCGAUCGCGAAGGCAGCUCACUAGAAUGUAACUGACGCUGAGGCACGAAAGCGUGGGGAUCAAACAGGAUUAGAUACCCUGGUAGUCCACGCUGUAAACGAUGAUAACUCGUUGUCGGCAAUAUAUCGUCGGUGACUAAGGGAAACCGAUAAGUUAUCCACCUGGGGAGUACG